UCCCCAGCCGCGCCCUCAGAGCAUGCGCAGACCAGCUGGCCGGUGUGUUUACGGACAUAUUCAAUCAAUCCCUAUACCAGUCUGCUGUUCCCACAUGCUUCAAGAGGGCCACCAUUGUUCCUGUUCCCAAGAAAGCUAAGGUAACUGAGCUAAACGACUACCGCCCCGUAGCACUCACAUCCGUCAUCAUGAAGUGAUAUGGUCCUUGACUAGUCUCUCAAAGCACUUCAUGAUGACGGAUGUGAGUGCUACGGGGCGGUAGUCGUUUAGCUCAGUUACAUUAGCUUUCUUGGGAACAGGAACAAUGGUGGCCCUCUUGAAGCAUGUGGGAACAGCAGACUGGUAUAGGGAUUGAUUGAAUAUGUCCGUAAACACACCGGCCAGCUGGUCUGCGCAUGCUGCAGGCCCAGACGGCAUCCCCAGCCGCGCCCUCAGAGCAUGCGCAGACCAGCUGGUCGGUGUGUUUACGGACAUAUUCAACCAAUCCCUAUACCAGUCUGCUGUUCCCACAUGCUUCAAGAGGGCCACCAUUGUUCCUGUUCCCAAGAAAGCUAAGGUAACUGAGCUAAACGACUACCGCC
Long non-coding RNA from Oncorhynchus tshawytscha (Chinook salmon), 581 nucleotides. The record is from Ensembl. Lineage: Eukaryota; Metazoa; Chordata; Actinopteri; Salmoniformes; Salmonidae.